AUUAACAGGAAGAUGUAAAUAAUAGUUUUUCAGUACAUCUCCCUGGUAUUACUACAAUAAAAUCGUAUUAUCACCACAUAGUGAUCACAGUCUUGACACUAUGCUUUGUGAAACCCCAGAGGGGUCAUGGUGGAGACUUUGGAAAAUCAGGUCACAUGCAGCUCGUCUGGCCCGAUCAUUGGUUGCACCAGGAUGGUGUGAGGAAGAGGGAAAUCAUAUUUCAAAUUCAAGUGGGGAUUCAUUGUUUCAUCGUCGAUUACAACAAGCGUUGUGUUAAAUUUGAUUCGUUAAAUUAAUUUCGCAAAACGAAAAUGUGCAUGGGUUCUACUCCACUGGACGGAGACAAAUGAGACAAGUAUCCUGGACGAUUCAAUGGUUCCAGAUAAAAUAAUGUUUGAGGACAACAGAAAGAUUGAGAUGGAGAAUAUGGAGACCCAAAGUUAACAACAACCCUCCAAGAAAAAAUGUCUGAAUGGCGUACUGUAUUCAAGUGUUGUCGUUUCUAUUCAUAUAGGUUGCACUAGUUACAUUAAAUGUUUCUAGUGCAAAGUUUCAAAGGACUAUUAUGCAGCUUAAAAAAAGCCAACAUGCAAGUAGACUGGGAUGUGCUGCAAUGACAAAAAAAAAAAAUACAGUAUCUGCAAUAGUUGAAUACCCAGAUAUCCAGUCAGCAGCUGUAAAAACCAAGAUGACUAAAAUAUGUAAAGAUACAAGGCGCUCCAUGUCAAAGGGAAUGGAUACAGUAGAUAAUGUUUAACAACAGGCACUUAAUGUGCAGUAAUUUUUUAAUUUUAAAUUGUAAUUGUCAUUAUCUUUGCUAAAGGUAUAACUUAGCAAGUGUUGUAAUUUAUUUUGUUUAAGUUUAUUUCAUAUCCUACAGAUGAGCUGUAGCAUGCUUUACCAUCUAAGUAACUGUUUGUCUACAUGCAAUAAAAACAAUUAACAAAAUUGUAAACUCAUUGCUACAUUAACUUAACAACUAUUAAAAUCCUUGACUAAUUUUAUGCAAAACAAUACUUUUAGUGUGAAACAGUUACUGUAUACAUUUGACUAAUGUUAUAACACAUACGUAAUUCGUCUGACUAUUAUGCAAUAAUCUUAUGAUAGUGCUUAUAUGUACUUAAAAGUUAGUUUAAUAAAUGUUUAUUUUAUCAAUUUUAAAACUGUUAAUAUUUUAUUUUUGUUGUACCUUGCAGGAUGAAGGUGAGAACUUUGAGAUUGUGCAUGUGAUGGUUUUACUGCGUGAUGACACUGAAUCGUUGUAGAACAAACAGUUUUGUGUAAACUUCACCAAUAACACAUUGUCAAUUAUGUGUUAACACUGUGUUUACUGUAUGUUGGCAAGAUAUGACAACAAUGUGUUUACUGUGAAAACCUCACCAAUUUCACAUAGUCAACAGAGUAAACACACUGUGUUUAUUGUGGGGUGACACUAUGUUUACUCUAUAGGGACAAUGUGUUUAGUGACAAUAUGGAUAUAAUUUGUUUAUUGUGUGGUACACUAUGAGAACAGUGUGUGAACAGUGUGUUAACACUGUGUUUACUGAAUGUUAGCAAUUUGUGACAACAAUGUGUUUAAUGUGUUUCACACUGAGAAAACCUCACCAAUUUCACAUAUUCCACAGAGUGAACACACUGUAAACACACUGUGUUUAUUGUGUGGUGACACUAUGGAAACACUAUGUUCACUGUGUGGGGACAGUGUGUUAAUUGUGUGGCUACACUAUGGGGACAGUGUGUUUACUGUGUGGGAACAAUGUGAUUAUUGUGUGGUGACACUAUGUUUAUGUUUGGUGUCACUAUGGAAACACUGUGUUUACUGUGUGCGGACAGUGUCUUAAUUGUGUGGCUACACUAUGGCGACAUUGUGUUUAUUGUGUGGUGACUGUGUGUAAACACGGUGUUUCACACAGUGUACAGUGUGAAAACCUCACA
Molecule: long non-coding RNA, 1935 nt
Organism: Anneissia japonica
Lineage: Eukaryota; Metazoa; Echinodermata; Crinoidea; Comatulida; Comatulidae
Exons: 3
Source: RefSeq, a predicted model, not a curated record